AAAAAGACAAACCCUAGGUUUUCGUGUCCAACUUUGACUGUCCGUCUUAUAUGAAAUUUUUUUAUAAUUCGUAUUUUCAUUGUUAUUAGAUGAUAAAAUAUGAUUAAUAUUUUAUGCGUGACUUGUCUUUUUAAUUUUUUUUAUAAUUUUUUCAAAUAAGACGAACGGUCAAACAUUGGACACGGAAACCAGGGUUUGUCUUUUU
RNAcentral lists this microRNA precursor (205 nucleotides) under Oryza sativa Japonica Group (Japanese rice). Its description in RNAcentral is "MIR812 microRNA precursor family". It matches the Rfam family "MIR812 microRNA precursor family". The record is from Rfam by way of RNAcentral. Lineage: Eukaryota; Viridiplantae; Streptophyta; Magnoliopsida; Poales; Poaceae.